UACGUAGGUGGCAAGCGUUGUCCGGAUUUAUUGGGUUUAAAGGGUGCGUAGGCGGCUUUGUAAGUCAGGGGUGAAAUAUGGCAGCUCAACUGUCAAGGUGCCAUUGAUACUGCAGAGCUUGAGUACAGAUGAGGUAGGCGGAAUUGACGGUGUAGCGGUGAAAUGCGUAGAUAUCGGCAAGAACACCUAUAGCGAAGGCAGCUUACUAGGCUGUAACUGACGCUGAGGCACGAAAGUGUGGGGAGCAAACAGG
This 253-nucleotide ribosomal RNA is filed under the name uncultured bacterium. RNAcentral's name for it is "partial 16S ribosomal RNA". It matches the Rfam family "Bacterial small subunit ribosomal RNA", at positions 524 to 776 of the family's 1533-position model. The record is from RNAcentral.